Molecule: long non-coding RNA, 921 nt
Filed under: Homo sapiens (human)
Lineage: Eukaryota; Metazoa; Chordata; Mammalia; Primates; Hominidae
Description: non-protein coding lnc-ADAMTS15-1:22
Source: RNAcentral
AUGGUGAGCUCCUUAGAGGGAAGUAUAGUACAUAUUUCCUCCAUGUCUCCAGUACCCAACACAGUGCCUGACGUUGAGAGGGCUCUUAAUAAGUGUUUGUGAAAGACUGGUAGAGCAAUGCCCUAUGAAACAAGAAGCUGGAUAACACUGCUUAGGACUCAGAGGAGAGAGGAGUGUGGUCUACACUGCACAUCUCUGCCAAGCCUGGCACGGGAUUUGAAGUUCCACACCACUGAGCCAAACACAUCCAGACCCUCUUCCAACCCGGGGAUCUGGUGGUAAGCAAAAUACUAUUCCAGCAAGUGAUGCCCCCAGUCUCCUAAGGAUAUAAGAAACAGGAAGUUGUGUUUGGCUGCGGACAAACUCUCUCAGUGCCCCUGGGACUUACAAGAUGUUUGGAAUGAGGAACGCUCUCCCAAUGCGAGCUCAGCGGAGGCCCCCAGAAAAACGUGGGGAGGAGAGUUUUCCCCAUAAGACAGACUGUCCUUCAGCCCCGGCCACCAAAGAGGAGUAACCCGGGCCUGCUGUUCUCUGGGACUGAAUGCGGCUGCAUCCUUCCCUUCCUCUGCUUCCUGUCCCGGUACUUACUGACGGUGCACAUGCGGGGCUUGGGGAAGCUGAGUGUCUAACCGCGGUGCAGCUACGGAUGGGAAAUUCUGGGCAGGGACGAGCCUGUCUUCACCUGAGGAAUUCCCUCCCACAUCACACAGGGCAGAGUGGGAGUGGAGGAGGGCAGAGGACACGUCUCAGGGCCAGUAACCUAGGCUUAUAGAAGACGUCAUCACCGUCCUCAUGAUGUUCACCCCGUCUCCUGUUUUUUGGGGCCAUGUGUUCCGAAAUGUAGCUUCAACUCAUCAUAGGGGCAAAAAGAAGUGAUGAGUCUGUGGCAGCAGAAAUCUGGGAAUCCAAGGGUCGUGCUAC